This 378-nucleotide ribosomal RNA is filed under the name uncultured eukaryote. RNAcentral describes it as "partial 18S ribosomal RNA". It matches the Rfam family "Eukaryotic small subunit ribosomal RNA", at positions 592 to 976 of the family's 1831-position model. The record is from RNAcentral.
CAAUAGCGUAUAUUUAAGUUGUUGCAGUUAAAAAGCUCGCAGUUGGAUUUCGGGUGGGACGCAGCGGUCUCGCAUUGCGUUUGUACUGCUGCAGCCCUCCUUCUUGCCGGGGGCGGCCUCUCGGACUUCACUGUCUGGGGGUCAGAAUCGGCGAUGUUACUUUGAGUAAAUUAGAGUGUUCAAAGCAAGCUUACGCUCUGAAUAUAAUAGCAUGGGAUAACACGACAGGACUCUGGCCUAUCGUGUUGGUCUAUAGGACCAGAGUAAUGAUUAAGAGGGACAGUCGGGGGCAUUCGUAUUCCGUUGUCAGAGGUGAAAUUCUUGGAUUUACGGAAGACGAACAUCUGCGAAAGCAUUUGCCAAGGAUGUUUUCAUUGA